UGCUCAUCAAUUAUUUGGACCCUGAAGGUAGAGUUGCUUGUUUUUUAAAAUGUCCAGACAGAAAAAUUUAAAUAUCAGGUUAGCAAUAUUUUAAACUGGACAUUUGAGAUUCCCAAUCGGACAUGUCAGGGGCAUAUGACCCUUUCCGGACCCCUGAUGCCAAGUAAAAGCGAUUGCAAUUACAUUUAGCCACCAUUUUGUAACUGUUUUUGUCUAAGAUAAGAGGAAAGUAUCUAUCUUCUGCAUAAAUCUGAUAUACAGGCAAAGAUGCUGACUAAUGAUCGUUAGAGAAGCCAUGUGUCUUGUGAUGUUGCAGAAGUUAAGUGUCUGAGAAGUGAUGGUUAUGAAGGUGUAAUGUCGGACUAGUGAUCAUUGCAAGGGUUAUGUGUAUAACAAGUGAUGGUUAUGAAGGUGUAAUGUCGGACUAGUGGUCAUUGCAAGGGUUAUGUGUAUAACAAGUGAUGGUUAUGAAGGUGUAAUGUCGGAUUAGUGAUAAUUGCAAGGGUUAUGUGUAUAACAAGUGAUGGUUAUGAAGGUGUAAUGUCGGAUUAGUGAUCAUUGCAAGGGUUAUGUGUAUAACAAGUGAUGGUUAUGAAGGUGUAAUGUCGGACUAGUGAUCAUUGCAAGGGUUAUGUGUGUAACAAGUGAUGGUUAUGAAGGUGUAAUGUCGGAUUAGUGAUUAUUGCAAGGGUUAUGUGUAUAACAAGUGAUGGUUAUGAAGGUGUAAUGUCGGACUAGUGAUCAUUGCAAGGGUUGUGUGUAACAAGUGAUGGUUAUGAAGGUGUAAUGUUGGACUAGUGAUCAUUGCAAGGGUUAUGUGUAUAACAAGUGAUGGUUAUGAAGGGGUAAUGUCGGAUUAGUGAUCAUUGCAAGGGUUAUAUGUAUAACAAGUGAUGGUUAUGAAGGUGUAAUGUCGGACUGGUGAUCAUUGCAAGGGUUGUGUGUAACAAGUGAUGGUUAUGAAGGUGUAAUGUCGGACUAGUGAUCAUUGCAAGGGUUGUGUGUAACAAGUGAUGGUUAUGAAGGUGUAAUGUCGGACUAGUGAUCAUUGCAAGGGUUAUGUGUGUAACAAGUGAUGGUUAUGAAGGUGUAAUGUCGGACUAGUGAUCAUUGUAAGGGUUGUGUGUAACAAGUGAUGGUUAUGAAGGUGUAAUGUCGGACUAGUGAUCAUUGCAAGGGUUGUGUGUAACAAGUGAUGGUUAUGAAGGUGUAAUGUCGGACUAGUGAUCAUUGCAAGGGUUGUGUGUAACAAGUGAUGGUUAUGAAGGUGUAAUGUCGGACUAGUGAUCAUUGCAAGGGUUAUGUG
Long non-coding RNA from Haliotis rufescens (red abalone), 1306 nucleotides. RefSeq lists it as uncharacterized. The transcript is spliced from 2 exons. The record is from RefSeq and is a predicted model, not a curated record. NCBI's taxonomy places the organism in Eukaryota, Metazoa, Mollusca, Gastropoda, Lepetellida, Haliotidae.